UGGGGAAUAUUGGACAAUGGGCGCAAGCCUGAUCCAGCCAUGCCGCGUGAGUGAUGAAGGCCCUAGGGUUGUAAAGCUCUUUCACCGGUGAAGAUAAUGACGGUAACCGGAGAAGAAGCCCCGGCUAACUUCGUGCCAGCAGCCGCGGUAAUACGAAGGGGGCUAGCGUUGUUCGGAUUUACUGGGCGUAAAGCGCACGUAGGCGGACUUUUAAGUCAGGGGUGAAAUCCCGGGGCUCAACCCCGGAACUGCCUUUGAUACUGGAAGUCUUGAGUAUGGUAGAGGUGAGUGGAAUUCCGAGUGUAGAGGUGAAAUUCGUAGAUAUUCGGAGGAACACCAGUGGCGAAGGCGGCUCACUGGACCAUUAAUGAAGCUGAGGUGCGAAAGCGUGGGGAGCAAACAGG
Molecule: ribosomal RNA, 404 nt
Filed under: Actinomycetes bacterium
Lineage: Bacteria; Bacillati; Actinomycetota; Actinomycetes
Description: Actinobacteria bacterium partial 16S ribosomal RNA
Rfam family: Bacterial small subunit ribosomal RNA
Source: RNAcentral